RNAcentral lists this ribosomal RNA (807 nucleotides) under uncultured bacterium. Its description in RNAcentral is "bacterial SSU rRNA". It matches the Rfam family "Bacterial small subunit ribosomal RNA", at positions 33 to 840 of the family's 1533-position model. The record is from RNAcentral.
ACCUGGCGGCGGGUCUACACAUGCAAGUCGAGGGACGAACCAGGUGCUUGCACCUGGGGAAACCGGCGAACGGGUGAGUAACACGUGAGGAACCUGCCCUGUACACCGGGAUAACUACGGGAAACCGUGGCUAAUACCGGAUGCUCCAUCGUGAUCGCAUGAUCGUGAUGGGAAAGCUCAGGCGGUACAGGAGGGCCUCGCGGCGUAUCAGCUUGUUGGUGAGGUAACGGCUCACCAAGGCAACGACGCGUAGCUGGAGUGAGAGCUCGAACAGCCACACUGGGACUGAGACACGGCCCAGACUCCUACGGGAGGCAGCAGUAGGGAAUAUUGGGCAAUGGUCGCAAGACUGACCCAGCCAUGCCGCGUGCAGGAAGAAGGCGUUACGCGUUGUAAACUGCUUUUAUCUGGGAAGAAAAAGUUCCUGCGGGAAAAAUUGCCGGUACCAGAUGAAUAAGCACCGGCUAACUCCGUGCCAGCAGCCGCGGUAAUACGGAGGGUGCAAGCGUUGUCCGGAUUUAUUGGGUUUAAAGGGUGCGCAGGCGGCCAUAUAAGUCAGCGGUGAAAUACUCCGGCUCAACCGGAGGGGUGCCGUUGAUACUGUUUGGCUUGAGUGCGGUCAACGUACAUGGAAUUUAUGGUGUAGCGGUGAAAUGCAUAGAUACCAUAAGGAACACCGAUAGCGAAGGCAUUGUACGGGGCCGUAACUGACGCUGAGGCACGAAAGCGUGGGUAGCGAACAGGAUUAGAUACCCUGGUAGUCCACGCCGUAAACGAUGAUCACUCGCUGUUAUGCCUCUUAUGGUG